This 1237-nucleotide ribosomal RNA is filed under the name Monilinia fructigena. Its description in RNAcentral is "bacterial LSU rRNA". It matches the Rfam family "Bacterial large subunit ribosomal RNA", at positions 1684 to 2925 of the family's 2925-position model. The record is from RNAcentral. Lineage: Eukaryota; Fungi; Ascomycota; Leotiomycetes; Helotiales; Sclerotiniaceae.
AGGCGUUCGGGUGAACUGUGGUUAAGGAAUUCGGCAAAAUGCCCCCGUAACUUCGGGAGAAGGGGGGCCCUACGAUGUGAGCACUCUUGCGGUGUUAAGCGUUGUGGGGUCGCAGAGAAUAGAGGGAAGCGACUGUUUAUCAAAAACACAGGUCCGUGCGAAGUCGUAAGACGAUGUAUACGGACUGACUCCUGCCCGGUGCUGGAAGGUUAAGGGGAGAUGUGCAAGCAUCGAACCGAAGCCCCAGUAAACGGCGGCCGUAACUAUAACGGUCCUAAGGUAGCGAAAUUCCUUGUCGGGUAAGUUCCGACCUGCACGAAUGGCGUAACGACCUCCCCACUGUCUCCAGCAUGGGCUCAGCGAAAUUGAAUUCCCCGUGAAGAUGCGGGGUACCCGCGGUCAGACGGAAAGACCCUAUGAACCUUUACUGCAACUUCGCAGUGGCGCCAGGAAGGGACUGUGUAGGAUAGGUGGGAGGCUUUGAAGCCGGGGCGCUAGCUUUGGUGGAGCCAACCUUGAAAUACCACCCUGUGCCUUUCUGGCGUCUAACUGAGCCCCGUUAUCCGGGGCCAGGACCCUGCGUGGUGGGCAGUUUGACUGGGGCGGUCGCCUCCCAAAUGGUAACGGAGGCGCGCGAUGGUGGGCUCAAGCCGGUCGGACAUCGGCUGUUGAGUGCAAAGGCACAAGCCCGCCUGACUGUGAGCGCGACAGCGCGAACAGAGACGAAAGUCGGCCUUAGUGAUCCGGUGGUCCCGCGUGGAAGGGCCAUCGCUCAACGGAUAAAAGGUACUCUAGGGAUAACAGGCUGAUCUCCCCCAAGAGUCCACAUCGACGGGGAGGUUUGGCACCUCGAUGUCGGCUCAUCGCAUCCCGGGGCUGGAGCAGGUCCCAAGGGUUCGGCUGUUCGCCGAUUAAAGCGGUACGUGAGCUGGGUUUAGAACGUCGUGAGACAGUUCGGUCCCUAUCUGCCGUGGGUGUAGGAGACUUGCGAGGAUCUGUCCCUAGUACGAGAGGACCGGGAUGGACGUACCUCUGGUGUACCAGUUGUUCCGCCAGGAGCAUCGCUGGGUAGCUAAGUGCGGACGGGAUAACUGCUGAAGGCAUCUAAGCAGGAAACCCCCCUCUAAACGAGGUCUCCCUCGAGGGCCGUGAUAGACCAUCACGUCGAUAGGCCGCAGGUGGAAGUCGGGUAACCGACGCAGCCGAGCGGUCCUAAUCGCCCGAUAGAGCUCAUAUC